AGAGUUUGAUCCUGGCUCAGAUUGAACGCUGGCGGCAUGCCUUACACAUGCAAGUCGAACGGUAACAGGUCUUCGGAUGCUGACGAGUGGCGAACGGGUGAGUAAUACAUCGGAACGUGCCCGAUCGUGGGGGAUAACGAAGCGAAAGCUUUGCUAAUACCGCAUACGAUCUACGGAUGAAAGCAGGGGACCGCAAGGCCUUGCGCGAACGGAGCGGCCGAUGGCAGAUUAGGUAGUUGGUGGGAUAAAAGCUUACCAAGCCGACGAUCUGUAGCUGGUCUGAGAGGACGACCAGCCACACUGGGACUGAGACACGGCCCAGACUCCUACGGGAGGCAGCAGUGGGGAAUUUUGGACAAUGGGCGAAAGCCUGAUCCAGCCAUGCCGCGUGCAGGAUGAAGGCCUUCGGGUUGUAAACUGCUUUUGUACGGAACGAAAAGACUCUGGUUAAUACCUGGGGUCCAUGACGGUACCGUAAGAAUAAGCACCGGCUAACUACGUGCCAGCAGCCGCGGUAAUACGUAGGGUGCAAGCGUUAAUCGGAAUUACUGGGCGUAAAGCGUGCGCAGGCGGUUAUAUAAGACAGAUGUGAAAUCCCCGGGCUCAACCUGGGAACUGCAUUUGUGACUGUAUAGCUAGAGUACGGCAGAGGGGGAUGGAAUUCCGCGUGUAGCAGUGAAAUGCGUAGAUAUGCGGAGGAACACCGAUGGCGAAGGCAAUCCCCUGGGCCUGUACUGACGCUCAUGCACGAAAGCGUGGGGAGCAAACAGGAUUAGAUACCCCGGUA
RNAcentral lists this ribosomal RNA (787 nucleotides) under uncultured bacterium. RNAcentral describes it as "bacterial SSU rRNA". It matches the Rfam family "Bacterial small subunit ribosomal RNA", at positions 8 to 792 of the family's 1533-position model. The record is from RNAcentral.